Molecule: ribosomal RNA, 400 nt
Filed under: Enterobacter hormaechei
Lineage: Bacteria; Pseudomonadati; Pseudomonadota; Gammaproteobacteria; Enterobacterales; Enterobacteriaceae
Description: bacterial SSU rRNA
Rfam family: Bacterial small subunit ribosomal RNA
Source: RNAcentral
GGACUCAGUGGAGACCGCCGGGGUCAACUCGGAGGAAGGUGGGGAUGACGUCAAGUCAUCAUGCCCCUUAUGUCCAGGGCUUCACGCAUGCUACAAUGGCCGGUACAAAGAGUUGCGAGCCUGUGAGGGUGAGCGAAUCUCGGAAAGCCGGUCUCAGUUCGGAUUGGGGUCUGCAACUCGACCUCAUGAAGUCGGAGUCGCUAGUAAUCGCAGAUCAGCAACGCUGCGGUGAAUACGUUCCCGGGGCUUGUACACACCGCCCGUCAAGUCAUGAAAGUUGGUAACACCCGAAGCCGGUGGCCUAACCGUUGUGGGGGAGCCGUCGAAGGUGGGACUGGUGAUUAGGACUAAGUCGUAACAAGGUAGCCGUACCGGAAGGUGCGGCUGGAUCACCUCCUUU